AGAGUUUGAUCAUGGCUCAGAACGAACGCUGGCGGCGCGUUUUAAGCAUGCAAGUCGAACGGUAGAGGAAGCCAGCACCGGGUGUACGAUCCUGAAGGAAGGGAAGUAUAUCGGGUGCUGGUUUUCUUGAGAGUGGCGCACGGGUGAGUAAUACGUAGGUGAUCUACCCUUGGAUUGGGGAUAGCUCAUGGAAACAUGAGAUAAUACCGAAUACGUCCUUCACAGCGAUGUGGAGGGGAAAGCUCCUUUACGGGAGCGUCCUUGGAUGAGCCUGCGGUCCAUUAGCCAGUUGGUGGGGUAACGGCCUACCAAAGCGACGAUGGAUAGCCGGCCUGAGAGGGUGUACGGCCACACUGGAACUGAGACACGGUCCAGACUCCUACGGGAGGCAGCAGCUAAGAAUCUUCUGCAAUGGGCGAAAGCCUGACAGAGCGACGCCGCGUGAACGAUGAAGGCCGCAAGGUUGUAAAGUUCUUUUCUUUGUGAGGAAUAAGGGAGAGAGGAAAUGCUCUUCUGAUGACGUAAGCGAAGGAAUAAGCCCCGGCCAAUUACGUGCCAGCAGCCGCGGUAAUACGUAUGGGGCGAGCGUUGUUCGGAAUCAUUGGGCGUAAAGGGCGUGUAGGCGGCAUAGCAAGCUUGGUGUGAAAUGUCACGGCUUAACCGUGAAUGUGCGCUGAGAACUGCUAAGCUUGAGUUUUGGGGGGGAAGCUGGAAUUCCUGGUGUAGGGGUGAAAUCUGUAGAUAUCAGGAAGAACACCGAUGGCGAAGGCAAGCUUCUAUCCAAAGACUGACGCUGAGGCGCGAAAGUGUGGGGAGCGAACAGGAUUAGAUACCCUAGUAGUCC
Molecule: ribosomal RNA, 844 nt
Filed under: uncultured bacterium
Lineage: Bacteria
Description: bacterial SSU rRNA
Rfam family: Bacterial small subunit ribosomal RNA
Source: RNAcentral